This 27-nucleotide non-coding RNA is filed under the name Homo sapiens (human). The record is from RNAcentral. Lineage: Eukaryota; Metazoa; Chordata; Mammalia; Primates; Hominidae.
UGUGAGGAAAGGCACGUGUGUCUGGGU